RNAcentral lists this ribosomal RNA (250 nucleotides) under uncultured prokaryote. RNAcentral describes it as "partial 16S rRNA". It matches the Rfam family "Bacterial small subunit ribosomal RNA", at positions 525 to 775 of the family's 1533-position model. The record is from RNAcentral.
ACGUAGGUGGCGAGCGUUGUCCGGAAUUAUUGGGCGUAAAGCGCGCGCAGGUGGGAUCUUAAGUCUAUUUUCAAAGUGCGCUGCUUAACUCCGUGAUGGGAUAGAAACUGGGGUUCUUGAGUACCGGAGAGGAAAGCGGAAUUCCCCGUGUAGCGGUGAAAUGCGUAGAUAUGGGGAGGAACACCAGUGGCGAAGGCGGCUUACUGGACGGUAUCUGACACUGAGGCGCGAAAGCCAGGGGAGCAAACGG